RNAcentral lists this ribosomal RNA (498 nucleotides) under uncultured Lachnospiraceae bacterium. RNAcentral's name for it is "partial 16S ribosomal RNA". The record is from RNAcentral. Lineage: Bacteria; Bacillati; Bacillota; Clostridia; Lachnospirales; Lachnospiraceae.
CACGUAGUUAGCCGGGGCUUCUUACUCAGGUACCGUCAUUCUCUUCCCUGCUGAUAGAGCUUUACAUACCGAAAUACUUCUUCACUCACGCGGCGUCGCUGCAUCAGGGUUUCCCCCAUUGUGCAAUAUUCCCCACUGCUGCCUCCCGUAGGAGUCUGGGCCGUGUCUCAGUCCCAAUGUGGCCGGCCACCCUCUCAGGUCGGCUACUGAUCGUCGCCUUGGUGGGCCUCUACCCCGCCAACCAGCUAAUCAGACGCGGAUCCAUCCCAUACCACCGGAGUUUUUCACACAGAAACAUGCAUUCCCGUGCGCUUAUGCGGUAUUAGCAGCCGUUUCCGGCUGUUAUCCCCCGGUAUGGGGCAGGUUAUCCACGCGUUACUCACCCGUCCGCCACUAAGUAUCAACUCUUCAUCCGUUAGAAUUCAAAGUUAAUACUCCGUUCGACUUGCAUGUGUUAAGCACGCCGCCAGCGUUCAUCCUGAGCCAGGAUCAAACUCU